This 2904-nucleotide ribosomal RNA is filed under the name Salmonella enterica subsp. enterica serovar Infantis. RNAcentral describes it as "23S ribosomal RNA". It matches the Rfam family "Bacterial large subunit ribosomal RNA". Lineage: Bacteria; Pseudomonadati; Pseudomonadota; Gammaproteobacteria; Enterobacterales; Enterobacteriaceae. The record is from RNAcentral.
GGUUAAGCGACUAAGCGUACACGGUGGAUGCCCCGGCAGUCAGAGGCGAUGAAGGACGUGCUAAUCUGCGAUAAGCGCCGGUAAGGUGAUAUGAACCGUUAUAACCGGCGAUUUCCGAAUGGGGAAACCCAGUGUGACUCGUCACACUAUCAUUAACUGAAUCCAUAGGUUAAUGAGGCGAACCGGGGAACUGAAACAUCUAAGUACCCCGAGGAAAAGAAAUCAACCGAGAUUCCCCCAGUAGCGGCGAGCGAACGGGGAGGAGCCCAGAGCCUGAAUCAGCAUGUGUGUUAGUGGAAGCGUCUGGAAAGGCGCGCGAUACAGGGUGACAGCCCCGUACACAAAAGCGCAUGUGCUGUGAGCUCGAUGAGUAGGGCGGGACACGUGGUAUCCUGUCUGAAUAUGGGAGAUCAUCCUCCAAGGCUAAAUACUCCUGACUGACCGAUAGUGAACCAGUACCGUGAGGGAAAGGCGAAAAGAACCCCGGCGAGGGGAGUGAAAAAGAACCUGAAACCGUGUACGUACAAGCAGUGGGAGCACAGGUUUACCUGUGUGACUGCGUACCUUUUGUAUAAUGGGUCAGCGACUUAUAUUCUGUAGCAAGGUUAACCGAAUAGGGGAGCCGGAGGGAAACCGAGUCUUAACCGGGCGUUAAGUUGCAGGGUAUAGACCCGAAACCCGGUGAUCUAGCCAUGGGCAGGUUGAAGGUUGGGUAACACUAACUGGAUGAAUCGAACCGACUAAUGUUGAAAAAUUAGCGGAUGACCUGUGGCUGGGGGUGAAAGGCCAAUCAAACCGGGAGAUAGCUGGUUCUCCCCGAAAGCUAUUUAGGUAGCGCCUCGUGAAUUCAUCUCCGGGGGUAGAGCACUGUUUCGGCUAGGGGGCCAUCCCGGCUUACCAACCCGAUGCAAACUGCGAAUACCGGAGAAUGUUAUCACGGGAGACACACGGCGGGUGCUAACGUCCGUCGUGAAGAGGGAAACAACCCAGACCGCCAGCUAAGGUCCCAAAGUCAUGGUUAAGUGGGAAACGAUGUGGGAAGGCCCAGACAGCCAGGAUGUUGGCUUAGAAGCAGCCAUCAUUUAAAGAAAGCGUAAUAGCUCACUGGUCGAGUCGGCCUGCGCGGAAGAUGUAACGGGGCUAAACCAUGCACCGAAGCUGCGGCAGCGACACUCAGGUGUUGUUGGGUAGGGGAGCGUUCUGUAAGCCUGUGAAGGUGUGUCGUGAGGCAUGCUGGAGGUAUCAGAAGUGCGAAUGCUGACAUAAGUAACGAUAAAGCGGGUGAAAAGCCCGCUCGCCGGAAGACCAAGGGUUCCUGUCCAACGUUAAUCGGGGCAGGGUGAGUCGACCCUAAGGCGAGGCCGAAAGGCGUAGUCGAUGGGAAACGGGUUAAUAUUCCCGUACUUGGUGUUACUGCGAAGGGGGACGGAGAAGGCUAUGUUGGCCGGGCGACGGUUGUCCCGGUUUAAGCGUGUAGGUGUGUGUUCGGUGUAAAUCCGGUUCACUUUAACACUGAGGCGUGAUGACGAGGCACUACGGUGCUGAAGCAACAAAUGCCCUGCUUCCAGGAAAAGCCUCUAAGCAUCAGGUAACAUCAAAUCGUACCCCAAACCGACACAGGUGGUCAGGUAGAGAAUACCAAGGCGCUUGAGAGAACUCGGGUGAAGGAACUAGGCAAAAUGGUGCCGUAACUUCGGGAGAAGGCACGCUGACAUGUAGGUGAAGUGAUUUACUCAUGGAGCUGAAGUCAGUCGAAGAUACCAGCUGGCUGCAACUGUUUAUUAAAAACACAGCACUGUGCAAACACGAAAGUGGACGUAUACGGUGUGACGCCUGCCCGGUGCCGGAAGGUUAAUUGAUGGGGUCAGCGCAAGCGAAGCUCCUGAUCGAAGCCCCGGUAAACGGCGGCCGUAACUAUAACGAUUCUAAGGUAGCGAAAUUCCUUGUCGGGUAAGUUCCGACCUGCACGAAUGGCGUAAUGAUGGCCAGGCUGUCUCCACCCGAGACUCAGUGAAAUUGAACUCGCUGUGAAGAUGCAGUGUACCCGCGGCAAGACGGAAAGACCCCGUGAACCUUUACUAUAGCUUGACACUGAACAUUGAGCCUUGAUGUGUAGGAUAGGUGGGAGGCUUUGAAGCGUGGACGCCAGUCUGCGUGGAGCCGACCUUGAAAUACCACCCUUUAAUGUUUGAUGUUCUAACGUGACCCGUAAUCCGGGUUGCGGACAGUGUCUGGUGGGUAGUUUGACUGGGGCGGUCUCCUCCUAAAGAGUAACGGAGGAGCACGAAGGUUGGCUAAUCCUGGUCGGACAUCAGGAGGUUAGUGCAAUGGCAUAAGCCAGCUUGACUGCGAGCGUGACGGCGCGAGCAGGUGCGAAAGCAGGUCAUAGUGAUCCGGUGGUUCUGAAUGGAAGGGCCAUCGCUCAACGGAUAAAAGGUACUCCGGGGAUAACAGGCUGAUACCGCCCAAGAGUUCAUAUCGACGGCGGUGUUUGGCACCUCGAUGUCGGCUCAUCACAUCCUGGGGCUGAAGUAGGUCCCAAGGGUAUGGCUGUUCGCCAUUUAAAGUGGUACGCGAGCUGGGUUUAGAACGUCGUGAGACAGUUCGAUUCCUAUCUCGCCGUGGGCGCUGGAGAACUGAGGGGGCUGCUCCUAGUACGAGAGGAUCGGAGUGGACGCAUCACUGGUGUUCGGGUUGUCAUGCCAAUGGCACUGCCCGGUAGCUAAAUGCGGAAGAGAUAAGUGCUGAAAGCAUCUAAGCACGAAACUUGCCCCGAGAUGAGUUCUCCCUGAGACUUAGAGUCUCCUGAAGGAACGUUGAAGACGACGACGUUGAUAGGCCGGGUGUGUAAGCGCAGCGAUGCGUUGAGCUAACCGGUACUAAUGAACCGUGAGGCUUAACCUU